This 251-nucleotide ribosomal RNA is filed under the name uncultured Methylococcales bacterium. Its description in RNAcentral is "partial 16S ribosomal RNA". It matches the Rfam family "Bacterial small subunit ribosomal RNA", at positions 769 to 1017 of the family's 1533-position model. The record is from RNAcentral. Lineage: Bacteria; Pseudomonadati; Pseudomonadota; Gammaproteobacteria; Methylococcales.
CAAGAGGUGGAUUAGAUACCCGGGUAGUCCACGCCGUAAACGAUGAGAACUAGCCGUUUGGCCCCUUGAGGGCUUAGUGGCGCAGCUAACGCGAUAAGUUCUCCGCCUGGGGAGUACGGCCGCAAGGUUAAAACUCAAAUGAAUUGACGGGGGCCCGCACAAGCGGUGGAGCAUGUUGUUUAAUUCGAGGCAACGCGAAAAACCUUACCACCACUUGACAUCCACGGAACUUUCCAGAGAUGGAUUGGUGC